AACUAUUUUGAUUAUGUGAUCAACAGAUAGUGUAUCUACUGCAUACGGUGUUACUGACGUUUCCCUCAAUCCUGAAAUGGUAGAGGUUGAAGCUUUUUCAAAAUUGCUGAACAAAAGAGACCCGCAUAUAGCAUUGGUGCCGUCGAAACCUGUUUGUCUGAUUCCGGAAAUAUUUGAAAAGUAGAUUUUUCAAGCCUAUCAUUCAGAAAUCAAUUAUUGAAGUGUUGGAGACAGAACAGGUAAAGGAGAUGUUAUAUCUUGAGGUUGUUUUUCGAUUCUUUUAUAACACUCUGCUUUUUGGAUACACAGCUAGAGAGGUGUAUUGUUAUCUGUACAAUUGCUGCCAUUGAUUAUGAUAUGGGAUGGUACUAUAUGAGUUGCAAAAUCUGUUGUCAAAAAGUAUUGUCUGUGCCAAGCGAUCAGAUGGUUUAUGGAAUUCAAAAGUCCCAAGUCAAGAAAAAGUACUACUGCGCCAAGUGUAAAACCUAUCGGCCAGAACUUCUGCCAAGGUACAAUUUACAAUUGGUAGUCCUUGACAAUACUGGCCACACAAAGUUCCUUCUGCUUGACAACCUUGCAGAAGAAUUAUUAGGGAUUCCCUGCGUUGUGUUAUCCGGUUCAUCGGCUGACCAGAUCGAGGACCGCGUUGUCGUC
This is a long non-coding RNA of Brassica napus (rape), 654 nucleotides long. RefSeq lists it as uncharacterized. NCBI's taxonomy places the organism in Eukaryota, Viridiplantae, Streptophyta, Magnoliopsida, Brassicales, Brassicaceae. The record is from RefSeq and is a predicted model, not a curated record. The transcript has 4 exons.